RNAcentral lists this ribosomal RNA (427 nucleotides) under uncultured beta proteobacterium. RNAcentral's name for it is "bacterial SSU rRNA". It matches the Rfam family "Bacterial small subunit ribosomal RNA", at positions 355 to 774 of the family's 1533-position model. Lineage: Bacteria; Pseudomonadati; Pseudomonadota; Betaproteobacteria. The record is from RNAcentral.
UGGGGAAUUUUGGACAAUGGGCGAAAGCCUGAUCCAGCCAUGCCGCGUGAGUGAAGAAGGCCUUCGGGUUGUAAAGCUCUUUUAGCCGGAAAGAAAGAGUCGCAAUGAAUAAUUGUGAUUUAUGACGGUACCGACAGAAUAAGCACCGGCCAACUACGUGCCAGCAGCCGCGGUAAUACGUAGGGUGCGAGCGUUAAUCGGAAUUACUGGGCGUAAAGGGUGCGCAGGCGGUUUUGCAAGUCAGAUGUGAAAGCCCCGGGCUUAACCUGGGAAUUGCGUUUGAAACUACAAGGCUAGAGUGCAGCAGAGGGGAGUGGAAUUCCAUGUGUAGCAGUGAAAUGCGUAGAGAUGUGGAAGAAAACCGAUGGCGAAGGCAGCUCCCUGGGUUGACACUGACGCUCAUGCACGAAAGCGUGGGGAGCAAACA